AGGGUUUGAUCAUGGCUCAGGAUGAACGCUGGCGGCGUGCUUAACACAUGCAAGUCGAACGAACCUUCGGGUUAGUGGCGGACGGGUGAGUAACGCGUGGGAAUCUGCCCUCAGGAGGGGGAUAACGGUUGGAAACGACCGCUAAUACCCCAUAUGCCGAGAGGUGAAAUGAAUUUCGCCUGAGGAUGAGCCCGCGUCUGAUUAGCUUGUUGGUGAGGUAAUGGCUCACCAAGGCUUCGAUCAGUAGCUGGUCUGAGAGGAUGAUCAGCCACACUGGGACUGAGACACGGCCCAGACUCCUACGGGAGGCAGCAGUGGGGAAUUUUCCGCAAUGGGCGAAAGCCUGACGGAGCAACGCCGCGUGAGGGAUGAAGGCCUCUGGGCUGUAAACCUCUUUUCUCAAGGAAGAAGAUAUGACGGUACUUGAGGAAUAAGCCACGGCUAAUUCCGUGCCAGCAGCCGCGGUAAUACGGGAGUGGCAAGCGUUAUCCGGAAUUAUUGGGCGUAAAGCGUCCGCAGGCGGCCUUUCAAGUCUGCUGUUAAAGCGUGGAGCUUAACUCCAUCAUGGCAGUGGAAACUGAUAGGCUUGAGUAUGGUAGGGGCAGAGGGAAUUCCCGGUGUAGCGGUGAAAUGCGUAGAUAUCGGGAAGAACACCAGUGGCGAAGGCGCUCUGCUGGGCCAUAACUGACGCUCAUGGACGAAAGCCAGGGGAGCGAAAGGGAUUAGAUACCCCUGUAGUCCUGGCCGUAAACGAUGAACACUAGGUGUCGGGGGAAUCGACCCCUUCGGUGUCGUAGCUAACGCGUUAAGUGUUCCGCCUGGGGAGUACGCACGCAAGUGUGAAACUCAAAGGAAUUGACGGGGGCCCGCACAAGCGGUGGAGUAUGUGGUUUAAUUCGAUGCAACGCGAAGAACCUUACCAGGGUUUGACAUCCUGCGAACCUUUAAGAAAUUAGAGGGUGCCUUCGGGAACGCAGUGACAGGUGGUGCAUGGCUGUCGUCAGCUCGUGUCGUGAGAUGUUGGGUUAAGUCCCGCAACGAGCGCAACCCACGUUUUUAGUUGCCAGCAUUUAGUUGGGCACUCUAGAAAGACCGCCGGUGAUAAACCGGAGGAAGGUGUGGAUGACGUCAAGUCAUCAUGCCCCUUACAUCCUGGGCUACACACGUACUACAAUGCUACGGACAAAGGGCAGCAAACUCGCGAGAGCUAGCAAAUCCCAUAAACCGUGGCUCAGUUCAGAUCGUAGGCUGCAACUCGCCUACGUGAAGUAGGAAUCGCUAGUAAUCGCAGGUCAGCAUACUGCGGUGAAUACGUUCCCGGGCCUUGUACACACCGCCCGUCACACCAUGGAAGUUGGCCACGCCCGAAGUCGUUACUUUAACCCUUGUGGAGAAGGACGCCGAAGGUGGGGCUGAUGACUGGGGUGAAGUCGUAACAAGGUAACC
RNAcentral lists this ribosomal RNA (1446 nucleotides) under uncultured marine microorganism. RNAcentral describes it as "bacterial SSU rRNA". It matches the Rfam family "Bacterial small subunit ribosomal RNA". The record is from RNAcentral.